This 231-nucleotide ribosomal RNA is filed under the name uncultured bacterium. RNAcentral's name for it is "partial 16S ribosomal RNA". It matches the Rfam family "Bacterial small subunit ribosomal RNA", at positions 524 to 754 of the family's 1533-position model. The record is from RNAcentral.
UACGAAGGGGGCUAGCGUUGCUCGGAAUCACUGGGCGUAAAGGGUGCGUAGGCGGGUCUUUAAGUCAGGGGUGAAAUCCUGGAGCUCAACUCCAGAACUGCCUUUGAUACUGAAGAUCUUGAGUUCGGGAGAGGUGAGUGGAACUGCGAGUGUAGAGGUGAAAUUCGUAGAUAUUCGCAAGAACACCAGUGGCGAAGGCGGCUCACUGGCCCGAUACUGACGCUGAGGAGA